UGGAGAUUUGAAAUUUAGGCUGCUAACUUGAGUUCGGGGAACAUUAUUUCUCCAUCUUCAU
This 61-nucleotide transfer RNA is filed under the name Ceratodoris hiroi. RNAcentral's name for it is "Okenia hiroi tRNA-Ser". Lineage: Eukaryota; Metazoa; Mollusca; Gastropoda; Nudibranchia; Goniodorididae. The record is from RNAcentral.